RNAcentral lists this ribosomal RNA (253 nucleotides) under uncultured bacterium. Its description in RNAcentral is "partial 16S ribosomal RNA". It matches the Rfam family "Bacterial small subunit ribosomal RNA", at positions 524 to 776 of the family's 1533-position model. The record is from RNAcentral.
UACGGAGGGAGCUAGCGUUGUUCGGAAUUACUGGGCGUAAAGCGCGCGUAGGCGGCUUUGUAAGUUAGAGGUGAAAGCCCGGGGCUCAACUCCGGAACUGCCUUUAAGACUGCAUCGCUUGAAUCCGGGAGAGGUGAGUGGAAUUCCGAGUGUAGAGGUGAAAUUCGUAGAUAUUCGGAAGAACACCAGUGGCGAAGGCGACUCACUGGACACGUAUUGACGCUGAGGUGCGAAAGCGUGGGGAGCAAACAGG